Tympanuchus pallidicinctus (lesser prairie-chicken) is the source of this 2620-nucleotide long non-coding RNA. RefSeq lists it as uncharacterized. NCBI's taxonomy places the organism in Eukaryota, Metazoa, Chordata, Aves, Galliformes, Phasianidae. The record is from RefSeq and is a predicted model, not a curated record. The transcript is spliced from 2 exons.
UCCUUCAGCUGCUUCGAACUGAUGAGAGCACUCCACCCCCUUCUCACCAGCUGCCUGGACCCACCCCCAUUUUACAGGUCCUCUGAUCAGCUGGGAAGUGGCACACUCCAUUGUACCUGCGAUGUGGGAGUAGGCAGCACAAGGGCUUCUGGCUCAGUGAAUCAUUCAGGAGACUGUGCUGUGAAUGGAAGCUGAAGAAGUUGCUGCUACUCCUGUGGAAGAGCUACCUUCCGAAGAGAAGCAAAGGGGAUGGAACAGCUCAAGCACUGACAUCAGCAAGAGUACUAGAAAGAAAUCAGAAACAUUUGCUUUUGUAUGAUCAGAUAGGAAUAGCAUAAGGUUGAACGAUUAAGAAGUACGAGUCUCCAAGACAUCAUAUGAAAAUCAGUAUAAAUUAUGAAAUAAUAAUCAAUGUCUAGAAUUGCUGGACAGGAUUGAAUAACUGCUUGCAACCUUUCUGCUUCUGGGAAGGUGCUUUAGGAAACAACAAACUGUUGAAAACAAAAUGAUUUCCUAACUUCUGCCAACUAAGGGCCACUCUGAAGUUUAGAAAAUGUGGUUUUUUAGUCUUUCCCAAAAGCUCCUAUCUAAAUCUUCACCGUUGCAAAUCAAUUCCUUCUCCUCAGACAUAAAAACAGACAAUCUGGACUUGUAUCCUAUUACAUUCUUGGCAUUAAUAUCUCUUAGUGGCUUGUUUUAUAGAACUCUUUGCUGGGAAGGCAGCAGGGAGAGAAAUAACUCUGUAGUUUUUAUAAAUUUAGGACUGGUCUGCUUUGGCUCUGUCUGUCCAGCAACCAAAUAGCCUAACGUCAAGCCAGAUUGUCUGUGAAAAAGUUUCCUGUAGCUCCAGAAAGCAGCCAGAUCCCAACUCUUCCAGCAUCAGACAUCAGUAGAAGCCUCUUUGUGCCAACUGCCUGAAUGCCCCAGGACACAGUCAAGGGAUAUGGGGAACAGAUCUGUCACUUGGUUCAGUGCUCUGGCACUGGUGCCUGAAGGUGAACGUUCCCUACUGGCACUGUUAGUCACUAGAAGUACCACUAGCCUCAGCAGCUUCCAUGUUAAAUGUGUAUCUGCCUUUGCAUGAAGAUGCCUGCCUCAGCAUGUGGGUGGAAGAAGAGAUCCAACUUCAUUUCUCUUCUCUGAAGGAAAAGUAGCUGCAGUGUUACUAUAUAGUGUAGUGACGUCAGUGCCUGUCAACCUGGGGCUUGAGAAAAAGCUUCUGGAUAUUUUUACUUGAGUGUUUGGGAUUAGGUAGCUUGCUUGGAGAAGUCAGUUUUCUUGAAGGCUCCAUUGGUAACAGAGAAAAUGCAGGAACUUUUUUCUUUUUAAAUUCCUUCAAAAUAAUAAUUAAAAAAACCCCAAACAUUUAUUAAAAAACAACAACAACAAAACAAUGAACAACAAUUUUGACUACUUUGGCACCCACAUUUUCAUGCAGUGCCAUUGUUGCAAGUGUAGAUCUCCACUCAUCUCUCUUAGAGAAUGAAUACAGCAGCACAAGGAUGCUGCGUGUUUGCAGAGGACUUGGAAGAGCACCUCACUUCAAAACUACCCAGGCAGGAACCAGCUGAACAAGAGCCAGGGUAGCAAAUCCUUUGGCAAUGGGGAGGGAAGCGUCACUUGGUAAUGUCAUUGCUUUUUAAAGGAUGCUGUCUAUCUUCUGGUCGUCUAGUGGAGUGGUUGUAGUUGAGGACCCUUAUCUAUAUCAGAAAGACACCUGGCAGCCUGCAAAAAAUGAUUAUGAAGGAUACAAACACAGCAGUAUACACUGGGCUGUGAUUAAAGGUUGAAGAGACCAUAAGACAUAAAAUGUUCACAAAGCUCUGUGCCUCAUUACCUGGGACCACUCAUUUGUCUUGGGCUAGAAACAGCCAAGAGAAAACCAAGGCCUUGUAAUACUGACAGAAGUUUGAUGGCCAAACCUGGGCCAUGCAUAAGUUGAGAUUGCUUACACUGCCAGUCAUGAAGAGGGUGUCUCAGAUAAGAUUUGUAGGAGGUUGUGAGCUGCCUGAGUGCUUUUGGAAUGGGUAUAAAUGCAAGAGAGUGUUGGUCGUGAUGAAAAUCAAAACAAGAUUUAGAAAACAAUCUUUAGAAAACAAGCAACCUUCAUUCCAGUGAAUUAUGUCAGAAGGAAAACAGAGACAUUUUUCUGUGGCUCACUGGAAAGAGGGUGGCUGCUGGCCCUUACAUCCAGGUCAGAGUGUGUCAUAUAGAUGAAUGUGCACAAACCAGUUUAUUUUUAAAUGUACAGUCUUCUCUCUGUAAAAGACAAUAACCUGGUUUUGCUUGCUUGUUUGUUUUUGUAAACUGCUGACAGUUCAGAAGAAUUUGAUGAGUACUCUGCAAACUGAGCCUCAGUUUCCCUGUUUUGAAAUGUUUUGUUCCUAAUUGGAGGUGCAAUGAAAUUCAAGUUGCAUUGUCCUUGUUGUCAGCAAUCUACUGUAUCCAAGGAAGGAUGCAAAGAAUUUGGCUAUCUAGGAAACCUGAAGUGCUGUGACAACAACUAAGACUAAUCAGGUUCUCUGACAUAAUUUUGGUUACGCACACUGUGUAGAUUACUCCAGCUUCACUCACUUAGCAACAACAACUAACAAAAGGUUCAGGUGAUCUUUAAAACAAA